RNAcentral lists this ribosomal RNA (772 nucleotides) under uncultured Bacilli bacterium. Its description in RNAcentral is "bacterial SSU rRNA". It matches the Rfam family "Bacterial small subunit ribosomal RNA", at positions 27 to 771 of the family's 1533-position model. Lineage: Bacteria; Bacillati; Bacillota; Bacilli. The record is from RNAcentral.
GGACGAACGCUGGCGGCGUGCCUAAUACAUGCAAGUCGAACGCUUUUUCUUUCACCGGAGCUUGCUCCACCGAAAGAAAAGGAGUGGCGAACGGGUGAGUAACACGUGGGUAACCUGCCCAUCAGAAGGGGAUAACACUUGGAAACAGGUGCUAAUACCGUAUAACAAUCGAAACCGCAUGGUUUCGGUUUGAAAGGCGCUUUUGCGUCACUGAUGGAUGGACCCGCGGUGCAUUAGCUAGUUGGUGAGGUAACGGCUCACCAAGGCAACGAUGCAUAGCCGACCUGAGAGGGUGAUCGGCCACAUUGGGACUGAGACACGGCCCAAACUCCUACGGGAGGCAGCAGUAGGGAAUCUUCGGCAAUGGACGCAAGUCUGACCGAGCAACGCCGCGUGAGUGAAGAAGGUUUUCGGAUCGUAAAACUCUGUUGUUAGAGAAGAACAAGGAUGAGAGUAGAAUGUUCAUCCCUUGACGGUAUCUAACCAGAAAGCCACGGCUAACUACGUGCCAGCAGCCGCGGUAAUACGUAGGUGGCAAGCGUUGUCCGGAUUUAUUGGGCGUAAAGCGAGCGCAGGCGGUUUCUUAAGUCUGAUGUGAAAGCCCCCGGCUCAACCGGGGAGGGUCAUUGGAAACUGGGAAACUUGAGUGCAGAAGAGGAGAGUGGAAUUCCAUGUGUAGCGGUGAAAUGCGUAGAUAUAUGGAGGAACACCAGUGGCGAAGGCGGCUCUCUGGUCUGUAACUGACGCUGAGGCUCGAAAGCGUGGGGAGCAA